Molecule: ribosomal RNA, 464 nt
Filed under: Vreelandella stevensii
Lineage: Bacteria; Pseudomonadati; Pseudomonadota; Gammaproteobacteria; Oceanospirillales; Halomonadaceae
Description: partial 16S ribosomal RNA
Rfam family: Bacterial small subunit ribosomal RNA
Source: RNAcentral
CCUAGGGAGGCUGCAGUGGGGAAUAUUGGACAAUGGGCGAAAGCCUGAUCCAGCCAUGCCGCGUGUGUGAAGAAGGCCUUCGGGUUGUAAAGCACUUUCAGUGGGGAAGAAAGCCUUGGGGCUAAUACCCUCGAGGAAGGACAUCACCCACAGAAGAAGCACCGGCUAACUCCGUGCCAGCAGCCGCGGUAAUACGGAGGGUGCGAGCGUUAAUCGGAAUUACUGGGCGUAAAGCGCGCGUAGGCGGUCUGAUAAGCCGGUUGUGAAAGCCCCGGGCUCAACCUGGGAACGGCAUCCGGAACGGUCAGGCUAGAGUGCAGGAGAGGAAGGUAGAAUUCCCGGUGUAGCGGUGAAAUGCGUAGAGAUCGGGAGGAAUACCAGUGGCGAAGGCGGCCUUCUGGACUGACACUGACGCUGAGGUGCGAAAGCGUGGGUAGCAAACAGGAUUAGAUACCCCAGUAGUC